GUAGAGAGAAAAAAAGGUGUAUCACACAGGGGUUAUUACCCUGAUGAGAAUUUUCUGCUUUGGGGCAGAAAAUUGGCAGACCCCUGAGGCCCCCAGGAAGCAGGCCAGACUUCCCACGGGGGGCAGUAGGAGGCCAUGGCAGGGCCUAAGCAAAGGAUCCCCCAAUUCCUCAUCAGCUUCCUUCCUACCUGCUGAAAACUCACACCGACAGAUAAUGUAAUACCAAAUUUUCUCUCUCUCUUUCAGAUAAAUAAAAUAUUUAUUAAAAAAAAAAAAGACUUUUCUGCUCUACAAUCAAUGAGUUGGCCGCUAAACAAAUGAAAACAAACAAAAUCAAAAUAAACCAAGAGCUCUUGACUGUGGUUUGAAACCCACUUGAAAGAGGUCCUUUUGAAGCGCUGGAUCUCGGUCCAUUUAAAACAGCCACAUGUGACGUGUUAGACUUAGCUUGACUUUGUCCCUCAGCUGGGAAUCGGCCAUCAGGAAACACAUCAUUUUGAGUGAUCCGUAUGUGCUCAUGCUGCAACUGGGAUUGGGACUGGAUGCCAGGGAAGGGAAGAAGUCUACUCAUAGGAAGGCUGUGGUCUAGUCCGGAAGCGCUGCAAUAUUCACAAUUCAGAUGCUGGCCAGUGAAGCCAAUGACAUUAACUAUGUGUGAGGACAUCUCUUAUCUUAUAUCAACAAAAUUGGUUCUUCCUCUUCCUACUCAGGCAAAAGUCCCAGUGUUGAAAAGACAGGUGUGGAGUGCAUACCUGAAUUGUUCUUAGCCGUCUACACCUACGAGUCAGGUAUUUUUAAAUAUCACUAAUAUUUCUUCUUCUUCUUCCUCUUUUUUUUUUUUCUUUUUUUGCAAAAGAGCACUUGCUGCUUCUUUUAUGUGAGAAGAGCUUUGUUAACUAUGGGCCCAUCCACACGUGCACUGGACAGAACACCUCAGAAUGAGCAGAAGAGCUCAUUUAUAGGUUGUUUCUACUUUCCCCAAAUAGAUUUCAGUUUCCAACAGUCUCAUCCACUGUCGUCUUACUCGAAAGCAGCUGAUUUCUGUAAUCAUUUCUGUUGCCAUGGGGAAAAAAUAGUGUUAAAAUGUUUGUAACCGAAGCCCUACGUUUAGGGGAGCCAGCUGGUGUCGAGUUCUCCAGUUCUAGCCAACCCCUCCCCUUCUCCCAGAAGUCCCUUUGGGCGGCACAAGAGCACUGAGUUUACCUGGCACUCAUUAGUGUGUGACAAAGGACAUAUUUGCCACCUGGGAGAAAUCAAAUCACAAGUGCUAGGGAUGAAAAAUUUGAACACCAUUAUCCUACAAAUUUCCAGAAACUACACACACAGGAGAUGGGCUGCAGGUGCGUUUUGACUUUUUAAAUGUACAAUAAUUUUUU
Molecule: long non-coding RNA, 1376 nt
Filed under: Vulpes vulpes (red fox)
Lineage: Eukaryota; Metazoa; Chordata; Mammalia; Carnivora; Canidae
Description: lncRNA (ENSVVUG00000010697.1)
Source: RNAcentral